RNAcentral lists this long non-coding RNA (1071 nucleotides) under Mus spicilegus (steppe mouse). RNAcentral's name for it is "lncRNA (ENSMSIG00000027563.1)". The record is from RNAcentral. Lineage: Eukaryota; Metazoa; Chordata; Mammalia; Rodentia; Muridae.
CCAGGCAUCACUUGCAGACAUUGUCUCCCAGGGUUAUGUGGUUUUUAUAUCUUGAGAUGAUUUAGCCUCAACAGAUAUUUUUUAUUGUUAGCUUUCUGGGAAGCAAGACAGAUGGGGUUCCAUAGUUUCAAUCGGCAAAGUUGGUGGGUGCUUAGGAAGCCAGGAGCAGUGACACCAUCUGAAUUUCCGGGACAGUGACUUAAAAAGACAAGUGGGCAAAUGGCCAAUAUUCUCUCCGACCUAAUAGCAGGAAAAGGUGUGGCCUUCACCCAGGUAACACUACAAAGCACCUCCCCAGCAGAAGUAUUUUGAAACUGAAGAGAAACAGGAAAAUUUCAACCAAUCCCGGGAGGAUUUUCAAGGUACCAAGGAAAACUGAAGAAGCCCCCCCCCCAACUUGCUAAGCCUGAUUUCCCGUUAAAAACACAGUUUAUUCAGAAAGCAAGAAGUGUUGGCAAGUCCACCCGUCAUUCUGAAGCAGUUAGACACUGCAGUAGUGGCUGGAAGAAGAAUCCCCACUCCGAGAAAGCUGGAAAAAGAAAAAAAGAAAAAGGAAAAGAAAAAAGGAAAUGUUUUCUCAAACAUGGCUGUCUCAUACAGGAGAAGGCUGAGAUGAGAGUGCACAGAAAACCCAAGGCUGAUGAGCGUUCCCACGGAGGAAUCUCUGCAAAGCAGAGAAGAGUCACACACUGCACUUGCUCCAGCCUCCCGGUCUUUCCACAUGGCAGCCGUAGAGAGGACAAACAGAACUGAGGGAUCAAAGAACUCCAUUUCCCAACUCCUGGUUCCCAGUUGAUUCUCUUUGCCGGGUUUCCGGUCAUGCUGUUAGGGAACAUGUUCUUUGGAAUCAUAAAGACUUAAUAACAUCACAGAACCCACCCAGGAAAAUGUCUCUAACUCUGAAGAGUGAGCCCUCAAGCCAUCUGAAGUUUGCAGAGAGUCCGUGGGUUUGACAAAACGCAGAAUUUGAACAGGGAGGUUAAGAAGAUGGUGGGCCUACUCUCCGCCUUCCACAAAUAGAGAUGCAGUUUUGACAUCGGGUUUGGCAAUAAAGACCUUGACCUGUGGGCA